RNAcentral lists this ribosomal RNA (1019 nucleotides) under Asianopis wangi. Its description in RNAcentral is "SSU rRNA". It matches the Rfam family "Eukaryotic small subunit ribosomal RNA", at positions 63 to 1081 of the family's 1831-position model. The record is from RNAcentral. Lineage: Eukaryota; Metazoa; Arthropoda; Arachnida; Araneae; Deinopidae.
GUACAUGCCGUAUUAAGGCGAAACCGCGAAUGGCUCAUUAAAUCAGUUAUGGUUCCUUGGAUCGUACCUUACUACUUGGAUAACUGUGGCAAUUCUAGAGCUAAUACAUGCAGCAGAGCUCCGACCUUCGGGGACGAGCGCUUUUAUUAGACCAAAACCAAUCGGACCUCGUGUCCGUACGAUGUGGUGACUCUGUAUAACUUUGGGCUGAUCGCACGGGCCUGUCCCGGCGACGUAUCUUUCAAGUGUCUGCCUUAUCAACUGUCGAUGGUAGGUUACGCGCCUACCAUGGUCGUAACGGGUGACGGGGAAUCAGGGUUCGAUUCCGGAGAGGGAGCCUGAGAAACGGCUACCACAUCCAAGGAAGGCAGCAGGCGCGCAAAUUACCCACUCCCAGAACGGGGAGGUAGUGACGAAAAAUAACAAUACGGGACUCUUUUGAGACCCCGUAAUUGGAAUGAGUACACUCUAAAUCCUUUAACGAGGAUCCAUUGGAGGGCAAGUCUGGUGCCAGCAGCUGCGGUAAUUCCAGCUCCAAUAGCGUAUAUUAAAGUUGUUGCGGUUAAAAAGCUCGUAGUUGGAUCUCAGUUCCAGACGGGUGGUCCGCCUACCGGUGGUUACUGCCUGUUCUGAACAGCCAGCCGGUUUCUCUUGAUGAUCUUCACCGGUUGUCUUGGGUGACCGGCAAGUUUACUUUGAAAAAAUUAGAGUGCUCAAAGCAGGCGUGACGCCUGAAUAAUGGUGCAUGGAAUAAUGGAAUAGGACCUCGGUUCUAUUUUGUUGGUUUUCGGAACACGAGGUAAUGAUUAAGAGGGACAGACGGGGGCAUUCGUAUUGCGACGCUAGAGGUGAAAUUCUUGGACCGUCGCAAGACGAACUACUGCGAAAGCAUUUGCCAAGAAUGUUUCCAUUAAUCAAGAACGAAAGUUAGAGGUUCGAAGGCGAUCAGAUACCGCCCUAGUUCUAACCAUAAACGAUGCCAGCCAGCGAUCCGGCUGUGUUCCUCAAAUGACACGCCG